ACCAAUGCCUAGUACAAUCAUGGUUCAUUAGAAAUCAGAACAAACCAUGGCUGCAAGGAAACAACAUGCACAUGGCCUGAAAGAUCUGACUGGUGUUUUGAUGGAUAAAAGUUUUCUGAAUAAGAUGAUAUACUAUCUCAACUUGAGAAGCACAUCUGGCAUGGAGGGGUUUCACCAGCACAUUUUGAUGUAUUGUGCAAAAAGAUUUGCAUACACACCACCUGUAUAAAGGAUGGGCAAUCUUCUUAUCAUAGUAUACAUGCAAAUAGAUCACACAUCACCAACAAGGAGGGAUCUGUAAGACUUCAGCGAAUCUGGAACAAAACAGUUGUAGAUGGUCUGUCUAUGAAUUAAAGAAGAAGAAAAAGUAUCAUUAUAUGGAUACCAUUUUACAUGAUUCUAUAACCCUGAGAAUAAAUGACAAAAAGGGGAUAUAUAAAAAGAAAGUUAGAAGAAGAUGACCCCCACAGAAUUUUAGCCAAACAUUUAGCCAAAGUUAGCCCAUAGCCUACCUGAGCCAUUCAUGAGGAACAUAAAUCAAGAUUUGAUUGACUUUUAAUGGACAAGAAUGAUAAAUAAUCUGUUACACUGUUUGCCAUACUAUUCAAACAUAUUUAAGCUUACAUUGAAUACUUGGUAUUCAUGAUAGUUUUAUGAAAGAUUUUUUAGCUCGACUAUACGAAGUAUAUGGAGAGCUGUCCUACUCGCCCCGGCGUCGGCGUCCGCGUCCGCGUCCAGAUUUUAGAUUAAAGUUUUGGUGAAGUAAAAUAUUUUUC
Ruditapes philippinarum (Manila clam) is the source of this 776-nucleotide long non-coding RNA. RefSeq lists it as uncharacterized. Lineage: Eukaryota; Metazoa; Mollusca; Bivalvia; Venerida; Veneridae. The transcript has 3 exons. The record is from RefSeq and is a predicted model, not a curated record.